RNAcentral lists this long non-coding RNA (231 nucleotides) under Papio anubis (olive baboon). Its description in RNAcentral is "lncRNA (ENSPANG00000047302.1)". The record is from RNAcentral. Lineage: Eukaryota; Metazoa; Chordata; Mammalia; Primates; Cercopithecidae.
AUUUUUUUGAUUUUGAAGGUUCUUUUUACCUUAAUUAUUUUUUGAAUCAAUGGAGACAAUUGCAAGACUCCGCUGUCGUAACCCAUCUUUCCUCACCUCCCUUGGUGAUAGUCCCCGCUGACAAUUUAAAGAUUUGGUAUCCUAAUGAAGAAGAUCUCCAAAAUCUUGCUAUUUAAUAGAAGCCUUGCCCAGAAGCCAGUUUGCGGCAUUACGCACCUCUAGCAAAGUAAU